UCACAUGGGUAUUCUCCAGACAGACCUGGCA
This 31-nucleotide non-coding RNA is filed under the name Homo sapiens (human). Lineage: Eukaryota; Metazoa; Chordata; Mammalia; Primates; Hominidae. The record is from RNAcentral.